This 638-nucleotide unclassified non-coding RNA is filed under the name Torymus affinis. Its description in RNAcentral is "sequence contains 5.8S rRNA gene, ITS2 and 28S rRNA gene". The record is from RNAcentral. Lineage: Eukaryota; Metazoa; Arthropoda; Insecta; Hymenoptera; Torymidae.
CUUCGAGCAAUUGCGGUCACGGAUACGAUUCCGGGACCACGCCUGGCUGAGGGUCGUUUAACAAACAUAACCAGACUGCUCGCGCAAGCGAGCGUAUGCCUGAGCGUUUCGUCUUGUUGCGUGUCUCGUACACGCACACACGGCGUCGCUCGAAACAAUGGCCAAACAGCAGACGUGUGUCGCACACGCGAGCAUGCGCGCUCGCGCUCGUUGUCUCUCUUUUUUUCUCUCUCUCACUGUGCGUGUGUCCGUCUUUCGAAAGCGGUGGCGGGCGCGCGCGCGCGCGGUGAUGAGAGAAGAGAAUAGAGGUUUUACAGACAGCUUGCGCAGCGCAUUUAUGCAUGCACGUGUGAUAAAGCGCCUUGAGCGUGUUUGAACGCGCGAUGUGUACAACACAUACACACACAGACUUAUAAAAACACACACACGUGUUGUUUGCGUCGAGUCCCGGAGCUCUUAGCGUGCGUUUUGACGCCGCGGGCGGACCGAUGCAACGCGCGCGCGUGUUCGUUUGUGCGUUGUGUACACAUAUAUAUAUAUACGCUCUUGGAAAAAAAACGCACGAGUGUCUUUUUUGAACGAAUUUCUUAACGACGACCUCAGAGCAGGCGAGACUACCCCCUAAUUUUAAAAAUAUA